This 164-nucleotide ribosomal RNA is filed under the name uncultured bacterium. RNAcentral describes it as "partial 16S rRNA". It matches the Rfam family "Bacterial small subunit ribosomal RNA", at positions 355 to 510 of the family's 1533-position model. The record is from RNAcentral.
UAGGGAAUCUUCCACAAUGGGCGGAAAGCCUGAUGGAGCAACGCCGCGUGUGUGAUGAAGGGUUUCGGCUCGUAAAACACUGUUGUAAGAGAAGAAUGACAUUGAGAGUAACUGUUCAAUGUGUGACGGUAUCUUACCAGAAAGGAACGGCUAAAUACGUGCCA